Molecule: transfer RNA, 86 nt
Organism: Puccinia graminis f. sp. tritici
Lineage: Eukaryota; Fungi; Basidiomycota; Pucciniomycetes; Pucciniales; Pucciniaceae
Rfam family: tRNA
About the family: Transfer RNA (tRNA) molecules are approximately 80 nucleotides in length. Their secondary structure includes four short double-helical elements and three loops (D, anti-codon, and T loops).
Source: Rfam
GCAUCUGUAGCCUAGUUGGUAAAGGAAGCACUCUUGUAUGUGACUCAGCAUUGCUGAGGUUGUGAGUUCAAAUCUCACCAGGCACA